RNAcentral lists this ribosomal RNA (520 nucleotides) under uncultured Glomus. RNAcentral describes it as "SSU rRNA". It matches the Rfam family "Eukaryotic small subunit ribosomal RNA", at positions 569 to 1090 of the family's 1831-position model. The record is from RNAcentral. Lineage: Eukaryota; Fungi; Glomeromycota; Glomeromycetes; Glomerales; Glomeraceae.
AGCAGCCGCGGUAAUUCCAGCUCCAAUAGCGUAUAUUAAAGUUGUUGCAGUUAAAAAGCUCGUAGUUGAAUUUCGGGGUUAGUAAGUUGGUCGUGCCACUGGUAUGUACUGACCUUACUGAUUCCUCCUUCUUGUAGAACCGUAAUGCCAUUAAGUUGGUGUUGCGGGGAAACAGGACUGUUACUUUGAAAAAAUUAGAGUGUUUAAAGCAAGCUAACGUUUGAAUACAUUAGCAUGGAAUAAUGAAAUAGGACGUUCGAUCCUAUUUUGUUGGUUUCUAGGAUUGACGUAAUGAUUAAUAGGGAUAGUUGGGGGCAUUAGUAUUCAAUUGUCAGAGGUGAAAUUCUUGGAUUUAUUGAAGACUAACUACUGCGAAAGCAUUUGCCAAGGAUGUUUUCAUUAAUCAAGAACGAAAGUUAGGGGAUCGAAGACGAUCAGAUACCGUCGUAGUCUUAACCAUAAACUAUGCCGACUAGGGAUCGGAUGAUGUUAAUUUUUAAUGACUCAUUUCGGCGCCUUA